RNAcentral lists this RNase P RNA (372 nucleotides) under Chloroflexota bacterium. RNAcentral's name for it is "Chloroflexi bacterium (groundwater metagenome) RNase P RNA component class A". It matches the Rfam family "Bacterial RNase P class A". From Rfam's summary of the family: Ribonuclease P (RNase P) is a ubiquitous endoribonuclease, found in archaea, bacteria and eukarya as well as chloroplasts and mitochondria. Lineage: Bacteria; Bacillati; Chloroflexota. The record is from RNAcentral.
CAAGUUGGCCGGGUGAUCGCGUCUUCCCCCGUUGGAAGAUGAGGAAAGUCCGCGCUCCACAGGGCACGGCGCUGGCUAACAGCCAGGCGGGGCGACCUGACGGCAUAGUGCAACAGAGAAGCAUAUUGCCUCCCUGCAAAGGGGGGCGAGGGUGAAACGGCGCGGUAAGAGCGCACCGGCGUUGAUGGGAACAUCAGCGGCCAGGCAAACCCCACCGGGAGCAAGACCAAGCAGGAACAAGGGGCGGCUCGUCCCGUUUGAGUUCCGGGUAGGUUGCUUGAGGCGUCGGGUAACCGGCGUCCUAGAGAGAUGAUCACCGCCCGCCGGGCAUACCGGCGGGUACAAAACGCGGCUUACAGGCGAACUUGAGUC